GUUACUGCUAUCGAGGUUCGACUAAGCCAUGCGAGUCGAAUGUAGCAAUACAUGGCGAACUGCUCAGUAACACGUGGACAACCUGCCCUUAGGUUGGGUAUAAACCCGGGAAACUGGGUAUAAUACCCGAUAGGUCUCGAUUGCUGGAAUGCAUCGAGAUUUAAAGCUCCGGCGCCUAAGGAUGGGUCCGCGGCCUAUCAGGUAGUAGUGGGUGUAGCGUACCUACUAGCCUACGACGGGUACGGGUUGUGAGAGCAAGAGCCCGGAGAUGGAUUCUGAGACACGAAUCCAGGCCCUACGGGGUGCAGCAGGCGCGAAGACUUUACAAUGCUGGCAACAGCGAUAAGGGAACCUCGAGUGCCAGGUUACAAAUCUGGCUGUCGAGAUGCCUAAAAAGCAUUUCAUAGCAAGGGCCGGGCAAGACCGGUGCCAGCCGCCGCGGUAACACCGGCGGCUCGAGUGGUAACCGUUAUUAUUGGGUCUAAAGGGUCUGUAGCCGGCCGGAUAAGUCUCUUGAGAAAUCUGGCAGCUUAACUGUCAGGCUUUCAGGAGAUACUGUCUGGCUCGAGGCCGGGAGAGGUGAGAGGUACUUCAGGGGUAGGGGUGAAAUCUUGUAAUCCUUGAAGGACCACCAGUGGCGAAGGCGUCUCACCAGAACGGACCUGACGGCAAGGGACGAAAGCUAGGGGCACGAACCGGAUUAGAUACCCGGGUAGUCCUAGCCGUAAACGAUACUCGCUAGGUGUCGGCCACGGUGCGACCGUUGUCGGUGCCGUAGGGAAGCCGUGAAGCGAGCCACCUGGGAGGUACGGCCGCAAGGCUGAAACUUAAAGGAAUUGGCGGGGGAGCACCACAACGGGUGGAGCUUGCGGUUUAAUUGGAUUCAACGCCGGAAAUCUUACCGGGACCGACAGCAAUAUGAAGGCCAGGCUGAAGACUUUGCCGGAUUAGCUGAGAGGUGGUGCAUGGCCGUCGUCAGUUCGUACUGUGAAGCAUCCUGUUAAGUCAGG
RNAcentral lists this ribosomal RNA (1010 nucleotides) under uncultured archaeon. Its description in RNAcentral is "bacterial SSU rRNA". It matches the Rfam family "Archaeal small subunit ribosomal RNA", at positions 23 to 1038 of the family's 1478-position model. The record is from RNAcentral.